GACGAACGCUGGCGGCGUGCCUAAUACAUGCCAGUUGAGCGCUGAAGGUUGGUACUUGUACCAACUGGAUGAGCAGCGAACGGGUGAGUAACGCGUGGGGAAUCUGCCUUUGAGCGGGGGACAACAUUUGGAAACGAAUGCUAAUACCGCAUAAAAACUUUAAACACAAGUUUUAAGUUUGAAAGAUGCAAUUGCAUCACUCAAAGAUGAUCCCGCGUUGUAUUAGCUAGUUGGUGAGGUAAAGGCUCACCGAGGCGAUGAUACAUAGCCGACCUGAGAGGGUGAUCGGCCACAUUGGGACUGAGACACGGCCCAAACUCCUACGGGAGGCAGCAGUAGGGAAUCUUCGGCAAUGGACGAAAGUCUGACCGAGCAACGCCGCGUGAGUGAAGAAGGUUUUCGGAUCGUAAAACUCUGUUGGUAGAGAAGAACGUUGGUGAGAGUGGAAAGCUCAUCAAGUGACGGUAACUACCCAGAAAGGGACGGCUAACUACGUG
RNAcentral lists this ribosomal RNA (497 nucleotides) under uncultured bacterium. RNAcentral's name for it is "partial 16S ribosomal RNA". It matches the Rfam family "Bacterial small subunit ribosomal RNA", at positions 28 to 507 of the family's 1533-position model. The record is from RNAcentral.